RNAcentral lists this ribosomal RNA (810 nucleotides) under uncultured Gemmatimonadota bacterium. RNAcentral describes it as "bacterial SSU rRNA". It matches the Rfam family "Bacterial small subunit ribosomal RNA", at positions 58 to 878 of the family's 1533-position model. Lineage: Bacteria; Pseudomonadati; Gemmatimonadota. The record is from RNAcentral.
CAAGUCGAGGGCGGGGAGCAAUCCCCGACCGGCGAACGGGUGCGUAACACGUGAGCGACCUGCCUGGAAAUGGGGGAUAGCCGGCCCAACGGCCGGGUAAUACCGCAUACGCUCUUCGGGGGGCAUACCCUGGAGAGGAAACUUUCGAGGUUUUCAGAGGGGCUCGCGGCCUAUCAGCUGGUUGGCGGGGUAACGGCCCACCAAGGCGACGACGGGUAGCUGGUCUGAGAGGAUGGCCAGCCACAUUGGGACUGAGAGACGGCCCAGACUCCUACGGGAGGCAGCAGUGGGGAAUCUUGCGCAAUGGCCGAAAGGCUGACGCAGCGACGCCGCGUGUGGGAGGACGCCCUUCGGGGUGUAAACCACUGUUGCCCGGGACGAACCUGGCCUUUCGAGGCCACUGACGGUACCGGGUGAGGAAGCACCGGCUAACUCUGUGCCAGCAGCCGCGGUAAUACAGAGGGUGCGAGCGUUGUCCGGAAUCACUGGGCGUAAAGGGCGCGUAGGCGGCGCGGUAAGCGUGCGGUGAAAGCCCGGGGCUCAACCCCGGGCCGGCCGUGCGGACUGCCGGGCUGGAGCACUGUAGAGGCAGGUGGAAUUCCGGGUGUAGCGGUGGAAUGCGUAGAGAUCCGGAAUAACACCGGUGGCGAAGGCGGCCUGCUGGGCAGUGGCUGACGCUGAGGCGCGACAGCGUGGGGAGCAAACAGGAUUAGAUACCCUGGUAGUCCACGCCGCAAACGAUGGGCACUAGGUGCCUGGGGAGCGACCCUCCGGGUGCCGGCGCUAACGCAUUAAGUGCCCCGCCUGGGG